RNAcentral lists this ribosomal RNA (466 nucleotides) under uncultured Alphaproteobacteria bacterium. Its description in RNAcentral is "bacterial SSU rRNA". It matches the Rfam family "Bacterial small subunit ribosomal RNA", at positions 9 to 521 of the family's 1533-position model. Lineage: Bacteria; Pseudomonadati; Pseudomonadota; Alphaproteobacteria. The record is from RNAcentral.
GAGUUUGAUCUUGGCUCAGAACGAACGCUGGCGGCAUGCCUAACACAUGCAAGUCGAACGAGACCUUCGGGUCUAGUGGCGCACGGGUGCGUAACGCGUGGGAAUCUGCCCUUGGGUUCGGAAUAACAGUUAGAAAUGACUGCUAAUACCGGAUGAUGUCUUCGGACCAAAGAUUUAUCGCCCAGGGAUGAGCCCGCGUAGGAUUAGCUUGUUGGUGAGGUAAGAGCUCACCAAGGCGACGAUCCUUAGCUGGUCUGAGAGGAUGAUCAGCCACACUGGGACUGAGACACGGCCCAGACUCCUACGGGAGGCAGCAGUGGGGAAUAUUGGACAAUGGGCGAAAGCCUGAUCCAGCAAUGCCGCGUGAGUGAUGAAGGCCUUAGGGUUGUAAAGCUCUUUUACCCGGGAUGAUAACGACAGUACCGGGAGAAUAAGCACCGGCUAACUUCGUGCCAGCAGCCGCCGU